Molecule: ribosomal RNA, 1346 nt
Filed under: uncultured bacterium
Lineage: Bacteria
Description: partial 16S ribosomal RNA
Rfam family: Bacterial small subunit ribosomal RNA
Source: RNAcentral
GACGAACGCUGGCGGCGUGCUUAACACAUGCAAGUCGAACGGAAAGGCCCUGCUUUUGUGGGGUGCUCGAGUGGCGAACGGGUGAGUAACACAUGAGUAACCUGCCCUUGACUUUGGGAUAACUUCAGGAAACUGGGGCUAAUACCGGAUAGGAGCUCCUGCUGCAUGGUGGGGGUUGGAAAGUUUCGGCGGUUGGGGAUGGACUCGCGGCUUAUCAGCUUGUUGGUGGGGUAGUGGCUUACCAAGGCUUUGACGGGUAGCCGGCCUGAGAGGGUGACCGGCCACAUUGGGACUGAGAUACGGCCCAGACUCCUACGGGAGGCAGCAGUGGGGAAUAUUGCACAAUGGGCGGAAGCCUGAUGCAGCAACGCCGCGUGCGGGAUGACGGCCUUCGGGUUGUAAACCGCUUUCGCCUGUGACGAAGCGUGAGUGACGGUAAUGGGUAAAGAAGCACCGGCUAACUACGUGCCAGCAGCCGCGGUGAUACGUAGGGUGCGAGCGUUGUCCGGAUUUAUUGGGCGUAAAGGGCUCGUAGGUGGUUGAUCGCGUCGGAAGUGUAAUCUUGGGGCUUAACCCUGAGCGUGCUUUCGAUACGGGUUGACUUGAGGAAGGUAGGGGAGAAUGGAAUUCCUGGUGGAGCGGUGGAAUGCGCAGAUAUCAGGAGGAACACCAGUGGCGAAGGCGGUUCUCUGGGCCUUUCCUGACGCUGAGGAGCGAAAGCGUGGGGAGCGAACAGGCUUAGAUACCCUGGUAGUCCACGCUGUAAACGGUGGGUACUAGGUGUGGGGUCCAUUCCACGGGUUCCGUGCCGUAGCUAACGCUUUAAGUACCCCGCCUGGGGAGUACGGCCGCAAGGCUAAAACUCAAAGGAAUUGACGGGGCCCCGCACAAGCGGCGGAGCAUGCGGAUUAAUUCGAUGCAACGCGUAGAACCUUACCUGGGUUUGACAUGGAUCGGGAGUGCUCAGAGAUGGGUGUGCCUCUUUUGGGGUCGGUUCACAGGUGGUGCAUGGCUGUCGUCAGCUCGUGUCGUGAGAUGUUGGGUUAAGUCCCGCAACGAGCGCAACCCUUGUUCACUGUUGCCAGCACGUUAUGGUGGGGACUCAGUGGAGACCGCCGGGGUCAACUCGGAGGAAGGUGGGGAUGACGUCAAGUCAUCAUGCCCCUUAUGUCCAGGGCUUCACGCAUGCUACAAUGGCUGGUACAGAGAGUGGCGAGCCUGUGAGGGUGAGCGAAUCUCGGAAAGCCGGUCUCAGUUCGGAUGGGGGUCUGCAACUCGACUUCAUGAAGUGGGAGUCGCUAGUAAUCGCAGAUCAGCAACGCUGCGGUGAAGACGUUCCCGGGGCU